Molecule: long non-coding RNA, 211 nt
Filed under: Elaeis guineensis (African oil palm)
Lineage: Eukaryota; Viridiplantae; Streptophyta; Magnoliopsida; Arecales; Arecaceae
Description: long non-coding RNA (EGUI_LNC059132)
Source: RNAcentral
UGGUAUGGGUUAAACCAAACUGCUAAGUAACCAAAUUUAAGAUUUAAUUUUUCAAAUUGGCUAGGUAAGUGGAGAUCAGUGAGGGUCCCCUCAUUGCUUUUCUUAGACACCAAUAAAUUAGCCAGGUAAGCAAACAGAAUCAAUUAAAUAACCACAUCUCAUUAACUUGUCUGAGAUACCAAUAGGUCAAUUGGUCCAAACAGAUUAACUC